RNAcentral lists this long non-coding RNA (581 nucleotides) under Homo sapiens (human). RNAcentral's name for it is "growth arrest specific 5, transcript variant 41 (GAS5)". The record is from RNAcentral. Lineage: Eukaryota; Metazoa; Chordata; Mammalia; Primates; Hominidae.
CUUUUCGAGGUAGGAGUCGACUCCUGUGAGGUAUGGUGCUGGGUGCAGAUGCAGUGUGGCUCUGGAUAGCACCUUAUGGACAGUUGUGUCCCCAAGGAAGGAUGAGAAUAGCUACUGAAGUCCUAAAGAGCAAGCCUAACUCAAGCCAUUGGCACACAGGCAUUAGACAGAAAGCUGGAAGUUGAAAUGGUGGAGUCCAACUUGCCUGGACCAGCUUAAUGGUUCUGCUCCUGGUAACGUUUUUAUCCAUGGAUGACUUGCUUGGGUAAGGACAUGAAGACAGUUCCUGUCAUACCUUUUAAAGGUAUGGAGAGUCGGCUUGACUACACUGUGUGGAGCAAGUUUUAAAGAAGCAAAGGGUUUUUAAUGACCACAACAAGCAAGCAUGCAGCUUACUGCUUGAAAGGGUCUUGCCUCACCCAAGCUAGAGUGCAGUGGCCUUUGAAGCUUACUACAGCCUCAAACUUCUGGGCUCAAGUGAUCCUCAGCCUCCCAGUGGUCUUUGUAGACUGCCUGAUGGAGUCUCAUGGCACAAGAAGAUUAAAACAGUGUCUCCAAUUUUAAUAAAUUUUUGCAAUCCA